GAGGAAUAUUGCGCAAUGGGGGCAACCCUGACGCAGCGACGCCGCGUGAGUGAGGGAGGCCUUCGGGUCGUAAAGCUCUGUCAGCAGGGAAGAAGUGCAGCAUGGGUAAUAUCCGUGUUGUUUGACGGUACCUGCAAAGGAAGCACCGGCUAACUCCGUGCCAGCAGCCGCGGUAAUACGGAGGGUGCGAGCGUUGUUCGGAAUCACUGGGCGUAAAGGGCGCGCAGGCGGUUUUAUAAGUCAGAUGUGAAAGCCCACGGCUUAACUGUGGAAGAGCAUUUUAAACUGUGAGACUUGAGUACCAGAGGGGAAGGUAGAAUUCCCGGUGUAGAGGUGAAAUUCGUAGAUAUCGGGAGGAAUACCGGUGGCGAAGGUGACCUUCUGGCUGGAUACUGACGCUGAGGCGCGAAAGCGUGGGGAGCAAAC
This 426-nucleotide ribosomal RNA is filed under the name uncultured bacterium. Its description in RNAcentral is "bacterial SSU rRNA". It matches the Rfam family "Bacterial small subunit ribosomal RNA", at positions 356 to 773 of the family's 1533-position model. The record is from RNAcentral.